Molecule: ribosomal RNA, 282 nt
Filed under: uncultured bacterium
Lineage: Bacteria
Description: partial 16S ribosomal RNA
Rfam family: Bacterial small subunit ribosomal RNA
Source: RNAcentral
CCUACGGGGGGCAGCAGUAGGGAAUCUUCCACAAUGGACGAAAGUCUGAUGGAGCAACGCCGCGUGAGUGAAGAAGGGUUUCGGCUCGUAAAGCUCUGUUGUUAGAGAAGAAAGAGCGUGAGAGUAACUGUUCACGUUUCGACGGUAUCUAACCAGAAAGCCACGGCUAACUACGUGCCAGCAGCCGCGGUAAUACGUAGGGGGCAAGCGUUAUCCGGAUUUAUUGGGCGUAAAGGGAACGCAGGCGGUCUUUUAAGUCUGAUGUGAAAGCCCUUGGCUUUA